Molecule: transfer RNA, 68 nt
Filed under: Plica plica (tree runner)
Lineage: Eukaryota; Metazoa; Chordata; Lepidosauria; Squamata; Tropiduridae
Description: tRNA-Gly
Source: RNAcentral
AUUCUUCUAGUAUAAACAGUACAGGUGACUUCCAAUCACUUAGUCUUACAUUAAGCUAAGGAAGAAUA